GACGAACGCUGGCGGCGUGCUUAACACAUGCAAGUCGAACGGAAAGGCCCUGCUUGUGUGGGGUGCUCGAGUGGCGAAGGGGGGAGUAACACGUGAGUAACCGGCCCUUGACUUUGGGAUAACUUCAGGAAACGGGGGCUAAUACAGGAUAGGAGAUCCUGCAGCAGGGUGGGGGUUGGAAAGUUUCGGCGGUUGGGGAUGGACUGGCGGCUUAUCAGCUUGUUGGUGGGGUAGUGGCUUACCAAGGAUUUGACGGGUAGCCGGCCUGAGAGGGUGGCCGGCCACAUUGGGACUGCGGGACGGCCCAGACUCCUACGUUAGGCAGCAGGGGGGAAUAUUACACAAUGGGCGGAAGCCUGAUGCAGCAGCGCCGCGUGCGUGAUGACGGCCUUCGGGUUGUAAACCGCUUUCGCCUGUGACGAAGCGUGAGUGACGGUAAUGGGUAAAGAAGCACCGGCUAACUACGUG
Molecule: ribosomal RNA, 468 nt
Filed under: uncultured bacterium
Lineage: Bacteria
Description: partial 16S ribosomal RNA
Rfam family: Bacterial small subunit ribosomal RNA
Source: RNAcentral